UCCAGGCCUGUAACUACUUCUGGUUUUGAACCUUGCUUUACAGAAUGCUCACCAUGAUGUAAGAAACUGAGAACUCAAGCUUCUUUAGGUUCCAGUCCACCUAAGUACAUAAAAACAUUCAUUCAGCUGUUUGUCCUGAAUUCACACUCGGGGUCCCCCCUAGAGCAGCUCAAGGCCAGCUGUGCCUUCAGCUGGGGUUUUUGCUUUUGCUUUCUGAAGUACCAAUACCAGAUCCUUCCCGCUCAGCCCUUGGCAGUUCCUCUUUUCAAGGCCAUUUCUGCUCUUCGUCCGAUAUUACUGCCAGCACAGGAGUUUGAGUAAGCCCAUCUGGAAGCCAGCUUUGCAGACUCCCAGAGCAGCAAGCAAUACUGGCAAAG
Molecule: long non-coding RNA, 377 nt
Organism: Empidonax traillii (willow flycatcher)
Lineage: Eukaryota; Metazoa; Chordata; Aves; Passeriformes; Tyrannidae
Exons: 3
Source: RefSeq, a predicted model, not a curated record